RNAcentral lists this ribosomal RNA (2771 nucleotides) under Klebsiella pneumoniae. Its description in RNAcentral is "bacterial LSU rRNA". It matches the Rfam family "Bacterial large subunit ribosomal RNA". Lineage: Bacteria; Pseudomonadati; Pseudomonadota; Gammaproteobacteria; Enterobacterales; Enterobacteriaceae. The record is from RNAcentral. RNAcentral also lists the same sequence under 1 other name.
AGCGUACACGGUGGAUGCCCUGGCAGUCAGAGGCGAUGAAGGACGUGCUAAUCUGCGAAAAGCGUCGGUAAGGUGAUAUGAACCGUUAUAACCGGCGAUGUCCGAAUGGGGAAACCCAGUGCAAUUCGUUGCACUAUCGUUAACUGAAUACAUAGGUUAACGAGGCGAACCGGGGGAACUGAAACAUCUAAGUACCCCGAGGAAAAGAAAUCAACCGAGAUUCCCCCAGUAGCGGCGAGCGAACGGGGAGCAGCCCAGAGUCUGAAUCAGCUUGUGUGUUAGUGGAACGGUCUGGAAAGUCCGACGGUACAGGGUGAUAGUCCCGUACACCAAAAUGCACAGGCUGUGAACUCGAAGAGUAGGGCGGGACACGUGGUAUCCUGUCUGAAUAUGGGGGGACCAUCCUCCAAGGCUAAAUACUCCUGACUGACCGAUAGUGAACCAGUACCGUGAGGGAAAGGCGAAAAGAACCCCGGCGAGGGGAGUGAAAAAGAACCUGAAACCGUGUACGUACAAGCAGUGGGAGCACCUUCGGGUGUGACUGCGUACCUUUUGUAUAAUGGGUCAGCGACUUAUAUUCUGUAGCAAGGUUAACCGUAUAGGGGAGCCGCAGGGAAACCGAGUCUUAACUGGGCGUUAAGUUGCAGGGUAUAGACCCGAAACCCGGUGAUCUAGCCAUGGGCAGGUUGAAGGUUGGGUAACACUAACUGGAGGACCGAACCGACUAAUGUUGAAAAAUUAGCGGAUGACUUGUGGCUGGGGGUGAAAGGCCAAUCAAACCGGGAGAUAGCUGGUUCUCCCCGAAAGCUAUUUAGGUAGCGCCUCGUGAAUUCAUCUUCGGGGGUAGAGCACUGUUUCGGCUAGGGGGUCAUCCCGACUUACCAACCCGAUGCAAACUACGAAUACCGAAGAAUGUUAUCACGGGAGACACACGGCGGGUGCUAACGUCCGUCGUGAAGAGGGAAACAACCCAGACCGCCAGCUAAGGUCCCAAAGUCAUGGUUAAGUGGGAAACGAUGUGGGAAGGCACAGACAGCCAGGAUGUUGGCUUAGAAGCAGCCAUCAUUUAAAGAAAGCGUAAUAGCUCACUGGUCGAGUCGGCCUGCGCGGAAGAUGUAACGGGGCUAAACCAUGCACCGAAGCUGCGGCAGCGACACUAUGUGUUGUUGGGUAGGGGAGCGUUCUGUAAGCCUGCGAAGGUGUGCUGUGAGGCAUGCUGGAGGUAUCAGAAGUGCGAAUGCUGACAUAAGUAACGAUAAAGCGGGUGAAAAGCCCGCUCGCCGGAAGACCAAGGGUUCCUGUCCAACGUUAAUCGGGGCAGGGUGAGUCGACCCCUAAGGCGAGGCCGAAAGGCGUAGUCGAUGGGAAACAGGUUAAUAUUCCUGUACUUGGUGUUACUGCGAAGGGGGGACGGAGAAGGCUAUGUUAGCCGGGCGACGGUUGUCCCGGUUUAAGCAUGUAGGCUGGUUGUCCAGGCAAAUCCGGAUAAUCAAGGCUGAGGUGUGAUGACGAGGCACUACGGUGCUGAAGUAACAAAUGCCCUGCUUCCAGGAAAAGCCUCUAAGCAUCAGGUAACAUCAAAUCGUACCCCAAACCGACACAGGUGGUCAGGUAGAGAAUACCAAGGCGCUUGAGAGAACUCGGGUGAAGGAACUAGGCAAAAUGGUGCCGUAACUUCGGGAGAAGGCACGCUGGUGUGUAGGUGAAGUCCCUGCGGAUGGAGCUGAGACCAGUCGAAGAUACCAGCUGGCUGCAACUGUUUAUUAAAAACACAGCACUGUGCAAACACGAAAGUGGACGUAUACGGUGUGACGCCUGCCCGGUGCCGGAAGGUUAAUUGAUGGGGUUAUCCGUAAGGAGAAGCUCUUGAUCGAAGCCCCGGUAAACGGCGGCCGUAACUAUAACGGUCCUAAGGUAGCGAAAUUCCUUGUCGGGUAAGUUCCGACCUGCACGAAUGGCGUAAUGAUGGCCAGGCUGUCUCCACCCGAGACUCAGUGAAAUUGAACUCGCUGUGAAGAUGCAGUGUACCCGCGGCAAGACGGAAAGACCCCGUGAACCUUUACUAUAGCUUGACACUGAACAUUGAGCCUUGAUGUGUAGGAUAGGUGGGAGGCUUUGAAGCGUGGACGCCAGUCUGCGUGGAGCCAACCUUGAAAUACCACCCUUUAAUGUUUGAUGUUCUAACGUUGGCCCCUUACCGGGGUUGCGGACAGUGUCUGGUGGGUAGUUUGACUGGGGCGGUCUCCUCCCAAAGCGUAACGGAGGAGCACGAAGGUUAGCUAAUCCUGGUCGGACAUCAGGAGGUUAGUGCAAUGGCAUAAGCUAGCUUGACUGCGAGCGUGACGGCGCGAGCAGGUGCGAAAGCAGGUCAUAGUGAUCCGGUGGUUCUGAAUGGAAGGGCCAUCGCUCAACGGAUAAAAGGUACUCCGGGGAUAACAGGCUGAUACCGCCCAAGAGUUCAUAUCGACGGCGGUGUUUGGCACCUCGAUGUCGGCUCAUCACAUCCUGGGGCUGAAGUAGGUCCCAAGGGUAUGGCUGUUCGCCAUUUAAAGUGGUACGCGAGCUGGGUUUAGAACGUCGUGAGACAGUUCGGUCCCUAUCUGCCGUGGGCGCUGGAGAAUUGAGGGGGGCUGCUCCUAGUACGAGAGGACCGGAGUGGACGCAUCACUGGUGUUCGGGUUGUCAUGCCAAUGGCACUGCCCGGUAGCUAAAUGCGGAAGAGAUAAGUGCUGAAAGCAUCUAAGCACGAAACUUGCCCCGAGAUGAGUUCU